ACACUAAAACCGCUCCCUCCCUCUCCGCCAGAAGCUCCGCCGCCGCGGAAGCUCGCCGGAGCAACGGCGAUAGGCCGUCUGAUACUCUCGGCUCUCCCCUCUCUCAUCUCCCUCAUCGCACCAACACCCACAGACGCCAUCCCUCAAACUCUCUCUAUUCUCCGGCGAUGCAACAACAACAAGUCACUGCCUUCUUCCCGGUGACAACAGUCGUGAGCCCCACCGC
RNAcentral lists this long non-coding RNA (226 nucleotides) under Salvia miltiorrhiza (redroot sage). RNAcentral's name for it is "long non-coding RNA (SMIL_LNC012160)". Lineage: Eukaryota; Viridiplantae; Streptophyta; Magnoliopsida; Lamiales; Lamiaceae. The record is from RNAcentral.